This 439-nucleotide ribosomal RNA is filed under the name uncultured bacterium. RNAcentral's name for it is "partial 16S ribosomal RNA". It matches the Rfam family "Bacterial small subunit ribosomal RNA", at positions 339 to 795 of the family's 1533-position model. The record is from RNAcentral.
CUACGGGGUGCUCCAGUGAGGAAUAUUGCACAAUGGGGGGAACCCUGAUGCAGCAACGCCGCGUGGAGGAUGACGCAUUUCGGUGUGUAAACUCCUUUUAUAUGUCAAGAAAAUGACGGUAGCAUAUGAAUAAGCACCGGCUGACUCCGUGCCAGCAGCCGCGGUAAUACGGAGGGUGCAAGCGUUACUCGGAAUCACUGGGCGUAAAGGACGCGUAGGCGGGUUGGAAAGUCAGGUGUGAAAUCCUACAGCUUAACUGUAGAACUGCACUUGAAACUUCUAAUCUAGAGUAUGGGAGGGGGAGAUGGAAUUAGUGGUGUAGGGGUAAUAUCCGUAGAUAUCACUAGGAAUACCUAAAGCGAAGGCGAUCUCCUGGAACAUUACUGACGCUAAGGCGUGAAAGCGUGGGGAGCAAACAGGAUUAGAUACCCUCGUAGUC